This 439-nucleotide ribosomal RNA is filed under the name uncultured bacterium. RNAcentral's name for it is "partial 16S ribosomal RNA". It matches the Rfam family "Bacterial small subunit ribosomal RNA", at positions 339 to 795 of the family's 1533-position model. The record is from RNAcentral.
CUACGGGACGCUCCAGUGGGGAAUAUUGCACAAUGGGGGAAACCCUGAUGCAGCGACGCCGCGUGAAGGAUGAAGGAUUUCGGUUCGUAAACUUCUAUCAGCAGGGAAGAUAGUGACUGUACCUGACUAAGAAGCCCCGGCUAACUACGUGCCAGCAGCCGCGGUAAUACGUAGGGGGCAAGCGUUAUCCGGAAUUACUGGGUGUAAAGGGUGCGUAGGUGGUUCUUUAAGUCAGAUGUGGAAGCCCGGGGCUCAACCUCGGGACUGCAUUUGAAACUGGGGAACUAGAAUACAGGAGAGGUAAGUGGAAUUCCUAGUGUAGCGGUGAAAUGCGUAGAUAUUAGGAGGAACACCAGUGGCGAAGGCGACUUACUGGACUGUUAUUGACACUGAGGCACGAAAGCGUGGGGAGCGAACAGGAUUAGAUACCCGAGUAGUC